AGUGAACGCUGGCGGUAGGCCUAACACAUGCAAGUCGAACGGCAGCACAGUAAGAGCUUGCUCUUACGGGUGGCGAGUGGCGGACGGGUGAGGAAUACAUCGGAAUCUACUUUUUCGUGGGGGAUAACGUAGGGAAACUUACGCUAAUACCGCAUACGACCUACGGGUGAAAGCAGGGGAUCUUCGGACCUUGCGCGAUUGAAUGAGCCGAUGUCGGAUUAGCUAGUUGGCGGGGUAAAGGCCCACCAAGGCGACGAUCCGUAGCUGGUCAGAGAGGAUGAUCAGCCACACUGGAACUGAGACACGGUCCAGACUCCUACGGGAGGCAGCAGUGGGGAAUAUUGGACAAUGGGCGCAAGCCUGAUCCAGCCAUACCGCGUGGGUGAAGAAGGCCUUCGGGUUGUAAAGCCCUUUUGUUGGGAAAGAAAAGCAGCAGGUUAAUACCCCGCUGUUCUGACGGUACCCAAAGGAUAAGCACCGGCUAACUUCGUG
This 492-nucleotide ribosomal RNA is filed under the name uncultured bacterium. RNAcentral's name for it is "partial 16S ribosomal RNA". It matches the Rfam family "Bacterial small subunit ribosomal RNA", at positions 29 to 507 of the family's 1533-position model. The record is from RNAcentral.